CAUUGUGUGUUUUGAUCAAUCAGAGCGCAGUAUUGUUCCAGUGACCCAGAUUGACAACAGCUUUUAGCUUUUUGCUUGCAUCGAGAUCGAUCAUAUUUCUGCAGUAUUUACAGUGUUUUGACAGUCUUUAGCUCACUUAGCAGCAUGGAUGAGGGAGGGGUGCUAGUUGAGAGAACCAACAAUCCAAGAAAAAGGAAGCGAAAUGAAAAAUAAUUGGCCAAAAACCAGAACAAGGAAGAUCAUAACAGCGCUUCUGGGAAGCAGCCAGCCAUUGGAUGCCAGCACAUACCUCACAGCUUUUGUAAGGCGUCUUUGCUGACAAAAGGAGACAUCACAGAAACUUUCCAGCACAUACCUCACAGCUUUUGUAAGGCGUCUUUGCUGACAGAAGGAGACAUCGCAGAUACUUUCCAGGACUGCUACAGAGACUUCAACGAGCCGCGGCAAGAUUCAUUCAUCAUUUGCCACUUCCAACUCAAUCCAGUCAUGCGCCGUCAAGGAAAUGGUCUCCAACCAAGGAGAGAGCGGAACUAUGCCCCAACAUUUCAAAUUACGACACAGCAAGGGGAAAAUGUGGAGGUAUGCUCCGGAAGAUUCAGAUCCAUCCUUGUACUUGGUAGGAAACGUCUGGGCAACCUAAUGAAGUACGCAUGCCAUUCAAAAUCACAGAGGCCAGACGCAUGUACGUGAGACCAUCUCCAGCCCCAGUCACUGUCGCCAAGCGCACCUGUAGAUGAGUACACCAUAUUGAAGAGAGGAAAGAGAUGGAGUACUCUUCGGGUCAAUCAGCUCCCAUUGCUGAGCUGUGUGAAGCCAGCGAAGCAGCGGGAUGUAGUAAAUCUUCUACGAGCGAUGGGGGUGGAGCUACAAGUGGAACCGCUAGUAGGGUAGGUUCCUUUUACAAAGAGGUGUGCGCGCCUUCUGAUGCAAUGGACGUCGAGAGUGAUGAGGAUGGCGAAGGCAUCAUUGCUGCCUAUGAAGAUUGACAUUUGAUUUCAUGCCUUAAAGUGAUCAAUUGACUGCAUAAUUUUGUUCCAAAGUGAUAUUUAUUUUAGACUUCUAUCAGAUA
Molecule: long non-coding RNA, 1069 nt
Organism: Strongylocentrotus purpuratus (purple sea urchin)
Lineage: Eukaryota; Metazoa; Echinodermata; Echinoidea; Camarodonta; Strongylocentrotidae
Exons: 3
Source: RefSeq, a predicted model, not a curated record